RNAcentral lists this ribosomal RNA (495 nucleotides) under uncultured bacterium. Its description in RNAcentral is "partial 16S ribosomal RNA". It matches the Rfam family "Bacterial small subunit ribosomal RNA", at positions 28 to 506 of the family's 1533-position model. The record is from RNAcentral.
GAUGAACGCUGGCGGCGUGCCUAAUACAUGCAAGUCGAGCGAACAGACGAGGAGCUUGCUCCUCUGACGUUAGCGGCGGACGGGUGAGUAACACGUGGAUAACCUACCUAUAAGACUGGGAUAACUUCGGGAAACCGGAGCUAAUACCGGAUAAUAUAUUGAACCGCAUGGUUCAAUAGUGAAAGACGGUUUUGCUGUCACUUUUGGUGGAACCGGGCCGCAUUAGCUAGUUGGUAAGGUAACGGCUUACCAAGGCAACGAUGCGUAGCCGACCUGAGAGGGUGAUCGGCCACACUGGAACUGAGACACGGUCCAGACUCCUACGGGAGGCAGCAGUAGGGAAUCUUCCGCAAUGGGCGAAAGCCUGACGGAGCAACGCCGCGUGAGUGAUGAAGGUCUUCGGAUCGUAAAACUCUGUUAUUAGGGAAGAACAAAUGUGUAAGUAACUAUGCACGUCUUGACGGUACCUAAUCAGAAAGCCACGGCUAACUACGU